AGCCAGGCCCCACGCUAACGGUCGCCGCCUAACCCCGCCAGGCCCGGAAGGGAGCAACGGUAAGCGGUUGGGCGUUGUGCCGUGGUCAGCCUGGCUACC
This 99-nucleotide signal recognition particle RNA is filed under the name Treponema sp. RNAcentral describes it as "signal recognition particle sRNA small type". It matches the Rfam family "Bacterial small signal recognition particle RNA". Rfam says of the family: The signal recognition particle (SRP) is a universally conserved ribonucleoprotein involved in the co-translational targeting of proteins to membranes. Archaeal SRP consists of a 7S RNA and homologues of the eukaryotic SRP19 and SRP54 proteins. The record is from RNAcentral. Lineage: Bacteria; Pseudomonadati; Spirochaetota; Spirochaetia; Treponematales; Treponemataceae.